UUUUUUCAUGUCUAGCUUUUUGAGUUCUUUAUAAACCCUAGAGAUUAGUGUUUAUCUGAUGUGCUUGUGGUAAAAAUUUGCUUCCAAGACGUAGGUUCUCUACAAACCUCACUGAUUGUUUCUUUUGCUGAGAAGAAGUUUUUUAGUUCGAAUCCAUCUCAUUUAUUAAUGCUUGAUUUUAAUUCUUGCGCUAUAGAGUAUUAUUAAGGAAGUAGGGCCUAAUCCAAUAUGAUGGAGAUUAGGGCCUACUUUUUCUUUUAUUAGAUGCAGCAUCUCUGGUUUUAUUUCUAGGUCCUUGAUCCACUUUGAGUUGAGUUUUGUGCAUGGUGAGAGAUGGGGGUUUAAUUUCACUUUGUUGCAUAUGGAUUUCCAGUUUCCCCAGUACCAUUUGUUGAAGAGGUUAUCUUUUCUCCAAUGUAUGUUUUUGGUGCCUUUGUCUAAUAUAAGAUCACUGUAAUUAUAUGGGUUAGUCUCUCAUCCUCUAUUCUGUACCAUUGGUCUACCAGUCUAUUUUAGUGUGAAUAACAUGCUGUUUUUGUUACAAUUGCUCUGUAGUAUAGUUUAAGGUCUGGUAUAGCGAUGCCACCUGCUUUACUCUUCUUCUUAUGGAUUGCUUUAGGUAUUCUGGGUCUUUCAUUUUUUCCAGAUGAAUUUCAUGAUUGCUUUUUCUAUUUAUAUGAGGAAUGUCAUUGGGAUUUUGAUUGGAAUUGCAUUAAAUCUGUGUAGUGCUUUUGGUAGUAUGGUCAUUUUGACAUUAUUAAUUGUGCCUAUCCAAG
This 776-nucleotide long non-coding RNA is filed under the name Marmota monax (woodchuck). Lineage: Eukaryota; Metazoa; Chordata; Mammalia; Rodentia; Sciuridae. The record is from RNAcentral.